GUUGUGGUUAAAGCUCGUAGUUGAACCUUGGGCCUGGCUGGCCGGUCCGCCUCACCGCGUGUACUGGUCCGGCCGGGCCUUUCCCUCUGUGGAACCCCAUGCCCUUCACUGGGUGUGGCGGGGAAACAGGACUUUUACUUUGAAAAAAUUAGAGUGCUCCAGGCAGGCCUAUGCUCGAAUACAUUAGCAUGGAAUAAUAGAAUAGGACGUGUGGUUCUAUUUUGUUGGUUUCUAGGACCGCCGUAAUGAUUAAUAGGGACAGUCGGGGGCAUCAGUAUUCAAUUGUCAGAGGUGAAAUUCUUGGAUUUAUUGAAGACUAACUACUGCGAAAGCAUUUGCCAAGGAUGUUUUCAUUAAUCAGGAACGAAAGUUAGGGGAUCGAAGACGAUCAGAUACCGUCGUAGUCUUAACCAUAAACUAUGCCGACUAGGGAUCGGACGAUGUUAUUUUUUGACUCGUUCGGCACCUUACGAGAAAUCAAAGUGCUUGGGCUCCAGGGGGAGUAUGGUCGCAAGGCUGAAACUUAAAGAAAUUGACGGAAGGGCACCACCAGGGGUGGAGCCUGCGGCUUAAUUUGACUCAACACGGGGAAACUCACCAGGUCCAGACACAAUGAGGAUUGACAGAUUGAGAGCUCUUUCUUGAUUUUGUGGGUGGUGGUGCAUGGCCGUUCUUAGUUGGUGGAGUGAUUUGUCUGCUUAAUUGCGAUAACGAACGAGACCUUAACCUGCUAAAUAGCCCGUAUUGCUUUGGCAGUACGCUGGCUUCUUAGAGGGACUAUCGGCUCAAGCCGAUGGAGUUUGAGCAUAACAGUCUGUGAUGCCCUUAGAUGUUCUGGGCGCACGCGCGCUACACUGAC
Molecule: ribosomal RNA, 859 nt
Filed under: uncultured fungus
Lineage: Eukaryota; Fungi
Description: SSU rRNA
Rfam family: Eukaryotic small subunit ribosomal RNA
Source: RNAcentral